AUUGGGAAGGCAGAUAAAAUGCCAGGUCUGGACUGCCUCUGGGCAUAACCUCACCCUGUGGGAUGUGAAUGAAUAGCAUCUUGCCUGGUAAAUCCACAGGAAUUGAUAAGGCAGGCGCAGUUCUCCCAAACAGGCCUUUUCUCUUUAAGCUGUAGCUGUGGUUUCUGCAGCAAUUUUGUUUUUGCCUUGAAAGAGGUGCUCUGGAUUAUCAGACCUCCAUGUAUGACAAUUUGUACCUGCAUGGAAUUGAAGACUCGGAGGCUGGUUCAGCGGAUUCCUACACAAGCAGGCCGUCUGACUCCGAUGUCUCUUUGGAAGAGGACCGGGAAGCAAUUCGACAGGAGAGAGAACAGCAAGCAGCUAUCCAGCUUGAGAGAGCAAAGUCCAAACCUGUAGCAUUUGCCGUGAAGACAAAUGUGAGCUACUGCGGCGCCCUGGAUGAGGAUGUGCCUGUUCCAAGCACAGCUAUCUCCUUUGAUGCUAAAGACUUUCUACAUAUUAAAGAGAAAUAUAACAAUGAUUGGUGGAUAGGAAGGCUGGUGAAAGAGGGCUGUGAAAUUGGCUUCAUUCCAAGUCCACUCAGAUUGGAGAACAUACGGAUUCAGCAAGAACAAAAAAGAGGACGUUUUCACGGAGGGAAAUCAAGUGGAAAUUCUUCUUCAAGUCUUGGAGAAAUGGUAUCUGGGACAUUUCGAGCAACUCCCACGUCAACAGGUGAGGGUUGUAGUUAAACUCUUUUUCAUACACUGUAUUCCUUUUAAAAAUAUUUGAACACACAUGCAAGUAUUUUUGCUAAUUUGGAAACAAUUUGAAGGCUUAAUUUAAAGAUUUCUCUAAUUAAUAUUUCAUUUCUCAUUUGUUUUCUAUGGUAAUUUGAUUUCAUUUAAAAUGGUAUUAAAAAUUCAUGUCAUUAGAAUAUAAUUUUGAAAAAUCUUAUUUACCCCUCAGAGUUAAUAACUGUCCAUUGUGUAAAUUGAUAUUCAAAAAAUUCAUUAUUUUACCUAAGAAGCGGACAGAGUUUAAGAUGGUGAAGGCCAAUAAAAAAAGGAAAAAAAUUAUGCAGACUCUCAAGAAAAUGCUGUUUUCAGUCUCCAUGUGGAAUUUCAGGAUGUAUUAGUACAGCCCGAGCUGAAAGGGUUGAAGCAGAGAGUAAGGCAGGGCCCAAAGGAGGGAGGGUCUCAUUUACAUUUGGACAGCAGACAGCCAAGCCCUGGAAUUAAUGGUAAUGAAGAGAUAUUGGUGGCCUAAUAGGGAGUUGUGGUACAUUUGGAAACGAUGGAGUUAUUCAUGUAGGAAUUUUUCUUCUACCACAUUCCCUGAUUCCUAUCGGCUAAUUUCAUUCUGGCCUAGAACUGCUGUUGCAUUAGGGCAUCCAGUGUCCUAGUUACCAAUUCCAAUUGUAUUACCAAUUUGGAAUGGCAAGUCCAAGGCCCUAUUCUGGCCUACCAAAACUGGAGGCAACUGGAUUGGUUCUGGAGUGGUUCUAAGUGUCUGGGUCCUUGUUCAUGUGAAGCCCUCUUAUCUACAGGACACUGAACCAAACCAGGUUUCUGAGUUGUACCCAACUAGACUGGAGCUGCUUGGAUGUCCACAGAAUCGCUUUAAAUCAGUUAUUGAGUAUAUUUUGCUUCGUUCCCAUUUGUUGGACAUUCAGGACAUUGAACACUUUAGCUAUUACAAACAGGAAAGAACAGGAAUAACUCAUUAUAAAUUUAUCUGAGGAAUAACUGGUUAUAAAUGUAUUUGAAAUUUAAAAGCAAGAUAGUAGGGAAAAUGUGCCAAUAUUCUAGAAAAUGGGCAAAAAUGCCCAAGGGACUGCAGAAUUAUGAGUUAACAAAUAUAAAAAUAACUAUUGAUUGAGGUGAUAGUCAUUUUUGCCCAAGUGGUUAUUCUGUUUCCUUUUAUGAAAUUGCAUUUGUCUACCUUGUUCCCAGCAACACUGUGCUGUGUCCAGCACGGGAACAACCCAUGGUGAAUGGCUGGCCCGGAACUUCCAGUGUUGCUCUCAACUCCUGUACCCAACUCCCACCCAGUGAGAAAUCAGGAUAUAAGGUCAUUUGUACCAGGGAGGAAGCUGUCUGUUUUUCAUACAUCUUCAAAAUUGACGUGUCCAGAAUGAAAUCAUAAGGCAGGUUCUCCAAAGUGGGCGAUAGGAAGGUGGUGAAGAUAAUUACAGGGACAAAUGGGUACAUUCUUCCAUCUUUUAAACUCAUGUACUGUCAUUUGCAGAGAUUACAUAUUUUGAUAUGGCUCUCAUUAUUGUCUUUUAGCAAAACAGAAGCAAAAAGUGGUAAGUUGUGUUUCCUUUUUAAAUCUACUGUUAAGGUUCCUAUAUAUACAUGCCUGCAAUGCUCCAUUUCAGUGACCCAAGUGGCUAUAAAAUAAGGGAAGAGCCUCCUCGGUGGGGACUUCGAUAAUCAUUUGUCGUUCAACCUGAGAAUUAUGAAUGUUGUGGCUGUGGAGAGGCAUGCUCAACCUCACCUUGUCACGCGUGUCGAAUCAUCUUUUUCAGACGGAGCACAUUCCUCCUUACGAUGUUGUGCCGUCAAUGCGUCCGGUGGUGUUAGUGGGGCCGUCACUGAAAGGUUACGAGCGGAAGUACAAAGUGAAAUUGAAAGAAUCUUUGAGUUGGCAAGAUCUUUGCAACUGGUCGUUCUUGAUGCAGACACCAUCAAUCACCCAGCACAACUUAUAAAGACUUCCUUAGCACCAAUUAUUGUUCAUGUAAAAGUCUCAUCUCCAAAGGUUUUACAGCGGUUGAUUAAAUCUAGAGGAAAGUCACAAAGUAAACACUUGAAUGUUCAACUGGUGGCAGCUGAUAAACUUGCACAAUGCCCCCCAGAAAUGUUUGAUGUUAUAUUGGAUGAAAAUCAGCUUGAGGAUGCGUGUGAACAUCUAGGGGAGUACCUGGAGGCGUACUGGCGUGCCACCCACACAACCAGUAGCACACCCAUGACCCCGCUGCUGGGAAGGAAUUUGGGCUCCACGGCACUCUCACCAUAUCCCACAGCAAUUUCUGGGUUACAGAGUCAGCGAAUGAGGCACAGCAACCACUCCACAGAGAACUCUCCAAUUGAAAGACGAAGUCUAAUGACCUCUGAUGAAAAUUAUCACAAUGAAAGGGCUCGGAAGAGUAGGAACCGCUUGUCUUCCAGUUCUCAGCAUAGCCGAGAUCAUUACCCUCUUGUGGAAGAAGAUUACCCUGACUCAUACCAGGACACUUACAAACCCCAUAGGAACCGAGGAUCACCUGGGGGAUAUAGCCAUGACUCCCGACAUAGGCUUUGAGUCUAAUGAAACAAAAAAUAUUCAUCUGUUGACAAUUUGCCAUAGCAGUGCUAGGAUAAACCAAUCAUCUUAACUUGGCUAACAUAGCACAGUAUUUACUGUGCUAAUGGGCUGCUGUCAUUUUAUGCUAAGUAAGGGGCAAAAAAAAAAUUACAUUAUGCCCUUGAGUCUAGAUGGAUAUUAGAUGCCCGAUCAUAUAGAUAUUUUUAAGUGCAACAUUUACAUGAUAACAGUACAUUUUGUUUUCUUCAUAGAUUUAGACACAUCAAUUUGUAAUUUAGGGUACUUACAAGGCACAUAUAAAAUAAUUUCCCAUGCCGGAAAUUCCAAAUGACCAGUUCCAGUUGGAACCAAUUUAUAAACCAAUUCCUGUUGGAAUUUGGGUGAAUUGACUAGAAAGUCUACUUGAGCAUGUUGUAAUCAACUGAAAAAUCUGGGGGAAAAAAAAAAAAACUAAUAAGAAAAUCGAAAUACCAAUAGAAGCCAAAUCCAGCUUUGGUAUUUAUUUGCUGGAAGCUAAAUUUACACUUAAAGUUGGAGUGUAUAAACAUUUUAAUAUAUGUUAAUGUUGCCAGAAUGACUUUUCAAACUUACCAAAUGUAUUGAUAGUGCCAAAAAAAAUCUCAGAAAUCUUAAUGCAGAAAUUAUAUAGUCUCCUCAGAUUUUAAUAUUUUUCUUUCUUUCCUGGCACAGCUGUUGUAUUCAAAGUGUUUUGCUUUUUGUUUGGUCAGUACUGUUAGCUCAUUUGAAGUUGGCAAAAACAAAUACAAACAAGCAAAAAACCUCAAAUUUUUUUCAGCAGUGAGAGAGAAUAGUAAAGAGAGGCCCAAGCAUAGCUGUUAUGUGAAAUAUAAAAUGGGGUGUUGUUCUCCCUUUAAUCAAUCUGAGCACAACUACAUACAUCCAGGAAUCUGAAGUCAGAUAGUAAGGAUGUGGUACCAAUCCUCCCGAGUGCAAUGCUAAACACUUCCAGGUGGGAAUUCAUCUAUUUCACUUAACACAAACGCAGGGUCUGUAUUUCCUGCCAACAAGAUUGAGUAUCUUUCCAUUGCUUCUCUCAGUCUCUGUCUUUGAAUAUCUGAAUGUUCUGGCCCUUCAACAAAUUCUUUAAAUCAUGCUAAGGAAUUUCGUUUUAUGUGGACACACUCAACUUUGAUAUUCAGGAGGUGUUUUUACAAAAUGACUGAUUGAAAAAAGUUGAAACAAAUGAUUUUAAAAGCUUGCAGUAAAAAAUAAACUCAUAGAUUCAGCAAAUAUUUGUUGACUAAAAUUAUAGCAUUUUUAAUGCAGAAAAUUAUAAAGAAUUUGGAGAUUGAGCUGCCUUAUUUCUAAUGAACACUCCUCUUCAUCUUAUUAAGUCUUCACAGUUUUUCCAGUGGCUAUAAUUAUGGAAUUGGUGACCUAUAUUUUAUAUUAUCAAGGAAGCCUUAGAUUCACUCUGAUCCAAGAAAUUAUUGAAAUUGACCCUUUUUACACAAAUGUCUUUAAAAAAAAAACUUAUUUCUAAACGUCCAUAGUGCAUGCAUUUUCUAAAACCCCAAUAAGUCCAGCCAUAAAAGUUCUUUUCUGCUAGUACAUGUCAUGAAGCCUAUUUUUGAAAAUAAUGAUAAUUAAUUUUAUAGUAUCUUCUUUUCUCCCCAAGCCUUUCAGUAUUCAGGCACUCAAAGCAUGCACCAGUUCAGUAAUCUUCUUGACCAUGGAAAUAAGUUCCACAUUACUGAUGAGUUAUAUAUAUAUCUUGAACCCCAUUACAACCUCACCACAUCCCCCUGCAUUUAUGUUCAGUGUUUGUACCCCAUUAUGAACCUGUUUAGCUGAUAAUGAGGAUACCUAUAAUUCUGUAAGUCAUUUCAAAUAUUUGAUACAAUUAAAAAAUAUGGGCUUAGUAAAUUUUAAAAGUUAACAUGUGAUACUGGCUUGUGAGAUUCUUCUGUCAUCUAGUGAAGCUUAUAAAACUUUCAGUUAAGACAUUUUAAAAGAGUUAUAUCCAUUAGGCACUUUAAUAAACAUAUAACCUGCCAUUACUGAAUACUUUGUUAGAACACAGAAGAGCAUCUUCCAGCAAACAAAAAUAUAUUUAUUACAUGUACAGCAUAUACUUGCAUGAGAAAGAAAACAUUAGCCAAAACAUUUUUUUAUAUGCUUUACUGGUUUCUUGUUUGUGCGCAUUAAAGUAUUUAAUUGCAAAGAGUGCACCAAGGUGUACAAAUUUAGACUAGACAGCUGUUCAGCUUUUUCUGUAGUAGCAUUAGCAGUUUGGUCAUUUAACUACUUUAAGAUACUUACAUUUUAUGGCAGGUAGCUGUAACAGCAUUUAAAUAUAUUUCCUAGUCAUCAAGAUUACCAUCUUCUUUCAACUUUUUAAAAGUCACUUGUUUUUAAAGGUUUUUCAAAGCCUUGUUUUUAGUCUUCCAUGUCAUGCCGAUAAAGAGAGUCUCAUUCAAUAUCUGUGCACAAAACCAAUCUAUCAAUUACCAUCAGAUGUCCAUACCUGUUUUGCUUUGCAUUCUUAUUCAAAAGCUGACAAUCUUGGAAAGGGUAUAAUGUAUAUUUUAUUGAUGGAUAUAUUUAAAUGUUUACUUUAAUUUGGAAUAUUCUUUCCCCUUCCUUCUGUAAUAAGUUUAUCUUCCUCAAAUAAGGGGAUAUACAUCUUAUUUUUUUUAAAGACUUAAGAGUUUAUUGUGUAAAUGAUACUUAAAAUCUAGAUAUAUACUAAAUGAAAAGUUUUAUUUUUGCCAAGCACACCAAGAACCUUUGAAAAAUACAUACUCCAUAAAUACUUUGUUUUUAAUUAAUUUCAUUUAAAGAUAGCAAAUGAUUAUAAGCAAGAGAAACAAGUCUUUUACUGUUUUGAGACUGUUUUAACUUACAGUAUAAGCCACAUACUAGAAUUCUGUAAUUUCAGUCACAGACAUAUAAUAAUGUGGACUCAUGUGACAAUGUGGAAAUGUAGUUCUGGAAAAAAACGAAUGCAAUUUGUCAAUCCUGAUGUUAAUUCUCAAGGGUAUAAUGUCACUCUAAUAUUAUAGCCAACAACAUUAUCUUGUUUAAUAUUUAAAGCAACAUUUAGAAAUGUUUAUAAAUGAUGAUUCUCUCUUAUCUUUAUACAGUUCUAUUGGAGAGAAGGUUGAAAUUGUUCACAAUUUAGAUGAUGGUCUUUCCUAAUAAGAGUCUUAAUUUUGUGACUAUAUAAGUCAUUGCAGUUAGUCUUUAAUGAAAUGAAUUUUAUUAAUGUAAAACAAAUUCUGAGACAAUUAUUUGUUUCCUUUAAAUAAUUUGCUAUUUAAUUAUUAUUGUCAUUGUUUGCAAAAUGUAUUUUUGGAAUGUUAACCUCUUUUCAUACCUGCAUACUUGAACUUGUCUUUUGUGUGGGGGCCUUAAAAUUCAUAAUAGGAAGUGGAGGCAGUGAAAGGAAGUAAGAAAAGGAAAUUAUGCUAAAAGAUGGUUUGCAAAUUUAAACUCUUUAAAUGAACAUAUCACAAAAUGUUGUUAAGACCCAGGAUGUCUGUUAAGAAUGUGUCUUGGCAACCUUAAUUUGCAUGUUAGUAUAUAUUUUCUUAGUUACACAGUUUUAUUUUGGUAUUUGCUUAAAAAAAUGUAAUACCAUUGUAGAAAUUACCCUAUGUACUGAUAUAUUUACUACCUCUUCUCUAGAGAAGACAAUCUGUCUUUAAAGGGAAAAACACUGGUCAAUAAGUAGUGAUCAAAAUUAUCACUAUUCUGGCUAACCUUGCUGCAAAGCUAAAUGCAUAGAUUAUUAAAAUAUGCCUUCCCUUUAGAUUUUAAAAUGUUUCCAAAAUGCUCUUUGGCACCCUUUCAUUUCUUCCACGUUAGUGAAGUUUUCUUUGAAUUGGUUCAGUUUAUCAUGAGGCAAGGUUAAUUUAACAAAUAAGUCAUCAUAGGGAACAAAACAAACUGCAAGGGAAUUGCCUUUGUGUGCAACUUGUUAUAAUAUCUAGUUCUAAGUCUAAAGGAGUAAAAGUCCAAAGACUUUAUGUUUAAGAGCAGCUGGUUUGCAAAUUCACAUUUUGUUGGUCCUUGACUUCCACAGAGCAUGACUUAGCCAUUUACUGGGUAAGGAUAUGCAUUAUCUUGGACUCCCAUGUAAUUGGAAUAAACUUCAUAUCAAUGUUUCAAAUAAAUGCUAUGUACCCCUUAUUCCUUUUAUAUUUCUGCCUUUGUCUUUUAUGACAAUGUUGCAUGUUGUGUUUUUUUAAAUUAUAUAAAACUCAUCCUUGAAUGACUAUAUGAAUGAAAAAUUUAUAGGAAAUUAUGUAAUAAAAUCUGUUUUAUUAGUUUCUCAUACCUUUAAAUACUGUCAAUACUAUAACUGUUAGUAAGUUACUUACUCAAGCUGUGUCUGUGGGGCAGAGAACAGUCCUCUUCUUUAAAAUAAUCAUGAUCAAACCAGUCAAGUCAAUCCAAUUAGCUGUUAGACAGACAAUAAGGAUAACCUUCUUUUUGACUUAAGCAGUCAAGUUAGUCAAAAUAGAAAAAUUGGCUUAUAUGGGCACCCAGAACUACAGCAUUCAAAAAUUACUUUUAAAGGUUUCUUCUUUUAUUAAAAUGGACUUUCUUAAAUAAAAUACAUCCUCUGAUAGCAGCUAUCUCUUUUUACUUGUAAUGAUUAAUUCUAAAUGCUUCAUGUAAUUGAGAGACAUUAUGAGAAGACUAGAAAGUAUCUCAUCAGAUAAUCCUAAGGGCUGUAACUUCUACUUGCCAUAAACAAAGUAUAAUUAAGAGUGAGUAGCAAUUGGUUUGGGGAGUCGUAGUUAUAUAUGAAACUUUCUUUUGUUUCUCAUGAUGUAUGUAAAAUGUUUGCAGAAGGAUGGUAGAAAAUGUUACUAAUGAAUUUAGAGUGGUUUGGGAGAAUACACUGAUACUUCCUCAUUUGAAAAUUAUAAGGAGUUACAAGGGGAACUAAGAACCAGAAGUGGCUGGCCUCUAGCUUUUCAAUACUUGAUAAGUGUUCUUGGUUAUGUUUUGAACACUUAAAUUUCUCAACAAAUGGCUACGUCUAUAUUUAUGUAGGGGCCACCCUUGCCCUACUUGCAUGCCACUUUGACUUUUAACUGAAAUCAGUGUGAAUUCUGUAUGCAUAAGGGAUGUAAUAAAGAGGCGGGAUCAUUAACGCUAUAUCGUUGCAUACUAUUUUUCAUAUGCCUUACAAUAUUUUCUGGGAUGUUAUUAAAAUGAAAGCAUUUUAUUGCCAAAAUAAAUCUAUGUUGUUACUUAUAAUCUGCAUUAGCAGUAGAAAAAUAAUGUAGCAAAAACAUAUUGUACAGUACAAAAUUAUAA
RNAcentral lists this small RNA (8586 nucleotides) under Pan troglodytes (chimpanzee). RNAcentral's name for it is "retained intron". The record is from RNAcentral. Lineage: Eukaryota; Metazoa; Chordata; Mammalia; Primates; Hominidae.